GUGCGAGACCGAUAGCGAACAAGUACCGUGAGGAAAAGAUGAAAAGAACUUUGAAAAGAGAGUUAAAGAGUACCUGAAACUGCUGAAAGGGAAGCGAAUCGUAUCCAGUGUCUAUAAUCUGCGGCAUAUUUCAUUGGCGGCAGUGUGCGUGCUUUUGCGUCGGAAGCGGCUUUUGUUGCUCUGUGCUUUUGCUGUGCGUGCUGUUGCUGGUGCCCUGUGUUGCGGUGGGACGUCAGAGUCAGUUCGUAUGCUGCGGGAAAUGGCCGCCGAGGAGGUAGGUCAGGACUUCGGUCUUGGCUGUUAUAUCUUGGUGGUUUGUUGUCGUGGUUGGGACUGAGAUGCCUACAAUGUGCUUUUGAGUGUGCCGGGUUCUCAUUUGGUGGACUGUUUGGAUAGCUUGCUAUGCUUGUGGUUUUUUCAUCGAGUGAUUGAGUCUGGUGGUAACUUGUUGCUGUUCGGGACUUUGA
RNAcentral lists this ribosomal RNA (467 nucleotides) under uncultured Oomycota. RNAcentral's name for it is "LSU rRNA". It matches the Rfam family "Eukaryotic large subunit ribosomal RNA", at positions 326 to 629 of the family's 3401-position model. Lineage: Eukaryota; Oomycota. The record is from RNAcentral.